UACGAUUUACUCAUCCUCCAUCUGUAACUACUAGUAUUGAGGAUGAGGGCCUUCUUCGACCACGCUACUCGUUCCGGACCAAAAACAGAUUGGAAAGCAAGCUGACGUGGACUUUGGUUAAAUAAAAGGCAAAGUUGCUGGACACUAAAAAAGAAAGAAAGCAACAUUACGCUCUCUUUCUCUCUCCUCACAAAUCGAAAUCGGAGUCCCAAAUUCCAAACCCUAAGCAUCAAUCCCCAUCUCCGACCCCACUUCCAGCAGUGGUAACGACAUGGUUACUGUAGUCAAAGGCUUCGUUGUCGAUCAACCUACCAUAUUCGAUCAUCGUCGAAGCCCUGACCAUCUCUGAUCGCUGGUAUCAUCAAACCAAUAGACCUUGCAACCUGUUGUUAAGCAAUUACUGCCAUCGCCUCAACCACCGGAGUGCUCCCUGUACAGGCGCCCAACGAAAAAAGUAAACUUUUUUUCAGUUUUGCCCAGGUAGUAUGGUGUUUAUUUCAUCAAGCAGUGGUAUUCAUUGUGUUCUUCGAUUUCGAAACUUUAUUGAAUUCGUAUAUUUUUUACUUUAUUGAAUUGUGUUUAAAAUGUAUUUGUUGGGUAUUUAUGCCUGUCCAACUAUAUUAAUUAGCAAAUGUUACUACUACUGUAGUGCAGCUGUGAGAGGUCGUUGUGUGUCUCUCUCUAUAAAUGAAACUAUCUCUCUGCUACAAGUAUGUUAUAUUUCGGGAUUUUUAUCUGUAUCGGUGUAUGCAUUUCUGAAACAGAGGCUCAAGUCAUGUUUUUGUAUUCUCUAUAAUGUUUUCGUUUUAGAUUUCAAUCUCUAUCUCACAAUUCAGAGCCCCAAGUCAUGUAUUUGCAAUAGUGGUAAAUUUUGGAACUAAAUUGAAUUGGUGGACUGGUGACUAUAUUGAAUUGUGUGUAAACUAUAUUUGUUGGUUAUUUGCAAUAGUGGUAAAUUUUGGAACUAUAUUGAGUUGGUGGAUUAUUGAUUAUAUUGAAUUCUGUUUAAACUAUAUUUGUUGGGUAUUUGUAUUAAUGGAUUUAUUUUAGAACUAUAUUGAAUUGGUGGACUGGUGACUUUACUUUUGUUGUUGGCAGUUGAGAUGGGUUGUUUGAUAGAUUUAAGUGGGGGUUUUAUUGUGUUUAAUCAGAUGUGAUUAGAUGUAUCCUUCAUACUCAAAAUGUACUAGUGAAGUAAAACUAUAUUUGGGUAUGUGCAGUUGUUCUCAAUUUUAAAACUAUAUAAUAUUGAAAUGUUAGAUGACUGACUCUACCUUUGUUGGUGGUGGUGGAUUCCAUCUUAGAAUGCCCGGGAGGAACUCCGAAAUUUGUCAUGGUAGUAGAGCUAAAGAUUACUUCUUUGCCGAGUGCAAAAAGAAAUGCCCUUGCACACUAUGUAAGCUUGGAUUUCGAGAAAUAUUUUGUUGUGGAAAAGGAGACUAACAACAAAGGAAAAUUAUUCCUUUGCUGCAAUAACAAUUGUGAAUUUUGGGAGUGGGUUGUAAAUGAAACAUCAAGUGGCCCGUCGAUGAACCCUGUGAAGAAUGAAACACUUGAAGAAAUGUCCCAUUCAAUCCAAUCUCGAGUUCGAAUAAGUGACGAUAAAGAGCUCUAGAUUAAAGUGAAUGUGAAUGUGAUUAUCCAGACGAAAGAAGUUAACGCACAAGGGAAUGCGAAAGGAAAGCAGCCUGCUUGAUUAGUAGAUAAUGAUCAAAUAGGUUUUUCCAUAAACUGUUGGAUGUAUAUGACUAAGUUAUGUAUCAACUCUUCUAAUAUUAAGUUAUGUACGAACUCUUCUAAUAUUAAGUUAUGUAUGAAAUCUUACAACUGCAUUUGUUUAUUUAUCACA
This 1849-nucleotide long non-coding RNA is filed under the name Olea europaea subsp. europaea. The record is from RNAcentral. Lineage: Eukaryota; Viridiplantae; Streptophyta; Magnoliopsida; Lamiales; Oleaceae.